AUUGAACGCUGGCGGCAGGCCUAACACAUGCAAGUCGAGCGGAUGAAGGGAGCUUGCUCCUGGAUUCAGCGGCGGACGGGUGAGUAAUGCCUAGGAAUCUGCCUGGUAGUGGGGGAUAACGUCCGGAAACGGGCGCUAAUACCGCAUACGUCCUGAGGGUGAAAGUGGGGGAUCUUCGGACCUCACGCUAUCAGAGGGGCCUAGGUCGGAGUAGCUAGUUGGUGGGGUAAAGGCCUACCAAGGCGACGAUCCGUAACUGGUCUGAGAGGAUGAUCAGUCACACGGGAACUGAGACACGGUCCAGACUCCUACGGGAGGCAGCAGUGGGGAAUAUUGGACAAUGGGCGAAAGCCUGAUCCAGCCAGGCCGCGUGUGUGAAGAAGGUCUUCGGAUUGUAAAGCACUUUAAGUUGGGAGGAAGGGCAGUAAGUUAAUACCUUGCUGUUUUGACGUUACCAACAGAAUAAGCACCGGCUAACUUCGUG
This 484-nucleotide ribosomal RNA is filed under the name uncultured bacterium. Its description in RNAcentral is "partial 16S ribosomal RNA". It matches the Rfam family "Bacterial small subunit ribosomal RNA", at positions 30 to 507 of the family's 1533-position model. The record is from RNAcentral.